Molecule: transfer RNA, 73 nt
Filed under: Camelus bactrianus (Bactrian camel)
Lineage: Eukaryota; Metazoa; Chordata; Mammalia; Artiodactyla; Camelidae
Also listed under: 1 other name
Rfam family: tRNA
About the family: Transfer RNA (tRNA) molecules are approximately 80 nucleotides in length.
Source: Rfam by way of RNAcentral
GGAGAUAUAACUCAGUGGUAGAGCGCAUGCCUAACAUGCACACGGUCCUGGGUUUAAGUCCCUAGUAUCUCCA